GAUAUCAAGUUAGAACGGUUGCAUAAAAGAGAAUGUCAUUUCAUCGCGAUCGGAGUGCAAGGAUUCCUCUUUCAUGCCUCCAAACUCAUACUUUCCUUCUCCUUUAGUACAAAACUAAAAUAUAAAACCUUUAUAAAAAUAUAAAGUCAAAAAUAGAUAUAUAAUGACAUAACGUUAAAAAUACCUAUAUAAAAAUGUAAAGUUAAAAUAAUUGUACUGAAACUAAAACUAAAAAUAGAAAGUUUUUCACCUAUGCAUUUGUAGCGUCACGUACUCCGAGAAUAAACGUGUAGUAUCUUUGGGUCAAGUCCAAACAAUAAAUAAAUAAAUAUACUAAUGUAAACGGACCUACUUAUCCAAUUGCUUAACGAAUCUAACAAAUAAGUUAUCAAUAUUACAAUCUGCAGCCCGCAAUACCGACAACUCACUGUUGUUGAUGUGAGAAUUUCUUGACACACAAAUUAAACCCUCUUUUUGACAAUUGUAGUAUAGAUGUAAGUAGGGUAUCGUUCUAGGCCGGGGAUUAGGAGGGAUUGCUAAUCUAUUAAAUUAACUUAAAAAUAUUAAAUAAGACUCAAGGACACAAAACUAGGCUAAAAACUCUAAUAACUCGAAACACACUUAAAAUAACUCAAAAUAAUGAAAACAAUUAAAUUAAACACUAGGAACUGAAAUGGACGGAAAUUAAAUUAAAAGACUAACAAUAAAGAAAACUAACUAAAUAAUAUAAUUUAAUAAUGGAUGGGUGUUUGGUUUUGAUGAAAAGUAAAUUAAACUUAAUUAAAUUACAGAAUUGACAAAAACAUAAAAUUAAGGUAAAAUGAUAAAUGACGGACUAGCUAGAGGGUUUUUCUCCACACAUGACACAUAUGCAACCUAAAUUGAUUUUCAGUUGUUCUUUCAAUAAAUUGUGAAUUUCAAUACUCCAGAUUAACCGUGAACAGCACUUUUUUAAUCUUCAAGUUUUCCUUAAGUUAUUGAAUUGGACGGGAAAACGCAUACAACAAUUCAAAACAUUCUUCAAAAGUCCCCUACGUGAAAAGCACAAUAGAGAUACAAUCAAAGAU
This 1067-nucleotide long non-coding RNA is filed under the name Malus domestica (apple). Its description in RNAcentral is "long non-coding RNA (MDOM_LNC003089)". Lineage: Eukaryota; Viridiplantae; Streptophyta; Magnoliopsida; Rosales; Rosaceae. The record is from RNAcentral.